CGCAGGCGGUCUGUCAAGUCGGAUGUGAAAUCCCCGGGCUCAACCUGGGAACUGCAUUCGAAACUGGCAGGCUUGAGUCUUGUAGAGGGGGGUAGAAUUCCAGGUGUAGCGGUGAAAUGCGUAGAGAUCUGGAGGAAUACCGGUGGCGAAGGCGGCCCCCUGGACAAAGACUGACGCUCAGGUGCGAAAGCGUGGGGAGCAAACAGGAUUAGAUACCCUGGUAGUCCACGCCGUAAACGAUGUCUACUUGGAGGUUGUGCCCUUGAGGCGUGGCUUCCGGAGCUAACGCGUUAAGUAGACCGCCUGGGGAGUACGGCCGCAAGGUUAAAACUCAAAUGAAUUGACGGGGGCCCGCACAAGCGGUGGAGCAUGUGGUUUAAUUCGAUGCAACGCGAAGAACCUUACCUGGUCUUGACAUCCACGGAAGUUUUCAGAGAUGAGAAUGUGCCUUCGGGAACCGUGAGACAGGUGCUGCAUGGCUGUCGUCAGCUCGUGUUGUGAAAUGUUGGGUUAAGUCCCGCAACGAGCGCAACCCUUAUCCUUUGUUGCCAGCGGUUAGGCCGGGAACUCAAAGGAGACUGCCAGUGAUAAACUGGAGGAAGGUGGGGAUGACGUCAAGUCAUCAUGGCCCUUACGACCAGGGCUACACACGUGCUACAAUGGCGCAUACAAAGAGAAGCGACCUCGCGAGAGCAAGCGGACCUCAUAAAGUGCGUCGUAGUCCGGAUUGGAGUCUGCAACUCGACUCCAUGAAGUCGGAAUCGCUAGUAAUCGUGGAUCAGAAUGCCACGGUGAAUACGUUCCCGGGCCUUGUACACACCGCCCGUCACACCAUGGGAGUGGGUUGCAAAAGAAGUAGGUAGCUUAACCUUCGGGAGGGCGCUUACCACUUUGUGAUUCAUGACUGGGGUGAAGUCGUAACAAGGUAACCGUAGGGGAACCUGC
Molecule: ribosomal RNA, 945 nt
Filed under: Salmonella enterica subsp. enterica serovar Cerro
Lineage: Bacteria; Pseudomonadati; Pseudomonadota; Gammaproteobacteria; Enterobacterales; Enterobacteriaceae
Description: bacterial SSU rRNA
Rfam family: Bacterial small subunit ribosomal RNA
Source: RNAcentral